Molecule: long non-coding RNA, 4112 nt
Filed under: Salvia miltiorrhiza (redroot sage)
Lineage: Eukaryota; Viridiplantae; Streptophyta; Magnoliopsida; Lamiales; Lamiaceae
Description: long non-coding RNA (SMIL_LNC005359)
Source: RNAcentral
AAUAAUAACACGAAUUUGACCUGAUUAAAACAACACAAUAAUAAUACAAUAAUAUGCGAAUUACAUAUCAAAUUAACCACUGAACAGAUUCAUGGUUUGAAAAAACAAUGAAAUUUAAAAGCUCACAUAAUAAGUCCCAUUCAUCAACAUAAAUCAUAGGUUCAGUCCAACAAAAUAAAAGUCUAGCAACAUAAAAAUAUCGCCAUCUAGUGAAGUGUUUCAAGUUCAACAAAAUAAAAGUCUAACAACAUAAAAAUAUCGCCAUCUAGUGCCCGUUCUUGGAGUCCAAUCCACAAAUAGUUCUUCAUAUCAGGACAUACUCAUCCUGAAAAUUUCAAGAUGAAAAUAUAAGAACAUAUCAGGCUGAAAUCAAGUGAAUCCAAUUAGGAAAAGGCAUAAGUUUUAUAAUUUGUAGACUCAAUAUAAUCUUAUCUCAAUAAUGGAUCAAUUUGCUCAAACUAACCAUCAACGUCAAUAGUGGAGAUCGAGGAGGAUUCCGUUUGAGGUUCAUCAUCGCCAUGUAGAAAGUUUUCGGCUAACUCACAUGUUGGUACUUCGCUUUUGAAGGCUUUGAAGAAAAAAAAAUUAGAAUUGGUAUAUAUAUCAAUAAUUUAAAAUGUCAACAUUANUUAUAACCUGAAUUUGACCUGAUUAAACACGAACACAGUAAUUACACGAAUUUGACCUGAUUAAAACAACACAAUAAUAAUACAAUAAUAUGUGAAUUACAUAUCAAAUUAACCACUGAACAGAUUCAUGGUUUGAAAAAACAAUGAAAUUUAAAAGCUCACAUAAUAAGUCCCAUUCAUCAACAUAAAUCAUAGGUUGAGUCCAACAAAAUAAAAGUCUAGCAACAUAAAAAUAUCGCCAUCUAGUGAAGUGUUUCAAGUUCAACAAAAUAAAAGUCUAACAACAUAAAAAUAUCGCCAUCUAGUGCCCGUUCUUGGAGUCCAAUCCACAAAUAGUUUUCAUAUCAGGACAUACUCAUCCUGAAAAUUUCAAGAUGAAAAUAUAAGAACAUAUCAGGCUGAAAUCAAGUGAAUCCAAUUAGGAAAAGGCUAAGUUUUAUAAUUUGUAGACUCAAUAUAAUCUUAUCUCAAUAAUGGAUCAAUUUGCUCAAACUAACCAUCAACACAAUAGUGGAGAUCGAGGAGGAUUCCGUUUGAGGUUCAUCAUCGCCAUGUAGAAAGUCUUCGGCUAACUCACAUGUUGGUACUUCGCUUUUGAAGGCUUUGAGAAAAAAAAAUAUGAAUUGGUAUAUAUAUCAAUAAUUUAAAAUAGUCAACAUUAAUAACACAAAGAAGUUAUACCUUUUUUCUCCAAACAACCAAUCUCUAGUGCAAAUAAUUGCCUCCACUGUGCUUUCUUUAAGUGAGCUACGAUAUUGAUCAAGUACUCUUCCACCAACACUAAAAACAGCUUCGGAAGCCACCGUAGUUAUGGGAAUGCUCAAAAUAUCACGAGCCAUGCGAGCUACUUGUGGAUACUUGUAUUGAUUCCCUUUCCAAAAGCCAAGAACAUCAAGAUUGGAUUUGGCAUCCAAUCUUGCUUCUUGCAUAUACAACUCUAAUUGUGACUUUUGUUCGCUUAAUCCAAACUCAUCCAAAGACACUAAAACUCUGUAGUUAAAAUACAAAUGAAAAUUUUAAUUAACAAGUAAGAAAUUUGAAUAAUAUUAAUAACAUAAGUAAAUAUAAUUUAGUAAUUUACCUCAACCACCGCUUUAGAUUCUUCGUUUGUGAAUUCACAGGUUGAAUCAUUUAAUGUCGGACCCCCACUUCUAGUAAGACCAAAACUGUCACUGUUGCUCUUAUGAUAUUCUUCAAAUAGAGCAAAUAACUUCUCUCUUACUAGUGAACACUGACGAGAGUUAGGGCCAUACAACUUCUUAUAAAAGAAUUCCACAAACUGAAACUUAUAGCGUGGAUCAAAGACCACAGCCAUAGUCAAGAUCAAGCUGAAAUCGGACCAAUACUUCUCAAACUUUGGUAGCAUCUUCUCAGCCAUUUUCUUUAUAUAAACAUCCGAACUAUUGCAACUUUGUCUCAAUGAACUGUAGCACAUGACAACGGGCUGAAAAUACAAAUUUGUUGUAGGAUAAUUGCUACCAGAAAACAAGUUCGAGACAUCGUAGAACAAGCUCAAGAAACCACGAAUCUUCUCAAUUCUAUCCCAUUCAACUGAAGAAGGACAAUGCUUGUAGUUGGGAUCAACAAGUUGAAAAUUCAUGAAUGCUUUCCUAUAAUAUAGUGCAUUAUCAAGCAUCAAAAAGGUAGAAUUCCACCUAGUAGGGACGUCCUGCCUUAGUCCUCUCUUACUUUGCAAAGAUAACUUGCUUACACAUUCCAAAAAUUUCUGCCUCCUCAUUUGUGAACCCCUCACAUAUUUCACACUUUCACGGAUCUUAACAACAGAAUUUUCAAUAUCAUUCAAACCAUCUUGGACUACCAAAUUGAUAAUAUGUGCACAACAACGGAUAUGGAAGAAUUCACCAUCACAAAGAAGUGCAUUAUUCAAGUUCAACUGUGAGAUCAACAACUCAACAGACACAUCAUUUGCACUAGCAUUAUCCAAAGUCAAAGAAAAUACUUUGUUUUCAAUCCCCCAGUCACAAAGCAUGGAAAACAACUUAUUUGAUAAUGCUACACCAGUAUGAGGAGAUGGCAUCAAAGAAAAAUUCAACACCUUCUUACGUAACACCCAUUCCUCAUCAAUGAAGUGACAAGUAAGAGAAAUAUAACCAUCUGUUGUAAUAGAACUCCAACAAUCAGAAGUCAAGGAAAUUCUACCACAUGCUUUUUGCAAUUCAGACUUAAUCUUCAUCUUUUCUCUUUCAUACAAUUUCAAAACAUCAGCCUUCACUGUAUUUCUAGUAACCAUCUUAAUAUCCCACUUAAGAUACUCAAAAAUAGCUAUAAUGCGUUCAUAUUCAACGAAUCGAAAUGGCAAAUCAUGAACAACAAUAGCAGCACACAAUAACUCCCUAAAGUGAUCAGGAUCAAAUUUUGUUUUACUAGUAGUCAUCAAUUCACCAACAUCAUGUGUAUUCUUCCUUUGACAACCAUCUAAAUGACGUUUCAAGUUUCCAGUUCCACAUUUGCUUGUCACUUUGUAAUAACGAUGCCCACAAUAGACACACACACAUGUUUUGGAACCAUCUGCACUAGUAGUAACUUUAUAGUGAUUCCAACAGCUGACCUCGGUUUUCUUUUGUUCGUUGGGGGCUUAGCUGUAGGAUUGGACGUCCCUAAACCAGUUUCUGCAUCUGUGGCAGCAGAAGGGGCAACAGCUGCAGGGCUAGCAGUAGAAGCAAUACAAGGCAUUUCACUUGUAUAUGUCGUAAAAGUAUUUUCAUCACCAUCGGUAUCAUCAUUGCUAGACAUAAUUACCUAUAACAACAAAGAACAAAUAACUAUUAGUACAUAAGAUUUAAAUGAGCAAUAAAAGACAAUAAAAAUUGAGAUCACAAGAACAGCAACAAAGGGAAAGUGGAACACAGCCUCAUUUUCGAAACUAAAUCAUCUUUUUCCAAAUGUAGAUUAUGUCUACAAUUUAUUUCCAUUAACAGUUUAACACCAUCUUUUUGAGAUUAUCUAAGGAUUGAAAGAUCGAAUGAAUAAUUUAGUAUAAUACUCAAACAAAAAGAAUUAGUAAUAGUAUUAUUGAAUUUGAAUGAAUCAUCACCAGGUGGUCUCUACCAAACAAAACAAUAGGAAAUAAUCUAAAUUACUCUUUUCUCAUAGAAAUCUGAAAUCUACGAGUCCUAAAUUCUUCACAAUCCAAAUUACUUCUCAAUCUCGAAAAUAAAUACAAGCAGAGUUAUUAUUAUUGAAGGAAUCACCGGCGUUGGUGACUUACCGGACAAGAGAGGCAGCUGGCAGCGCGGGCAGGGAGUUAAGCGCGCUUCUCUUCCGAUUCAGCGGAAGUUUGAGACGGCGGCGGAGGUGGAGGUGCGCCGCUGGAGAGUGGUGAUUGGAGGUGAGUCGCGGUGACAGGCCGUGCUUCUCUUCCGAUUCGGCAGAUUUUGAGACGGCGGCAGAGGUGGAGUGCGCCGCUGGAGAGUGGUGACUGGUGGUGAGUGCCGGUGACUGGCUGCGCCGCCGUGGCCGUCG